UACGUAGGUGGCAAGCGUUAUCCGGAUUUAUUGGGCGUAAAGGGAACGCAGGCGGUCUUUUAAGUCUGAUGUGAAAGCCUUCGGCUUAACCGGAGUAGUGCAUUGGAAACUGGGAGACUUGAGUGCAGAAGAGGAGAGUGGAACUCCAUGUGUAGCGGUGAAAUGCGUAGAUAUAUGGAAGAACACCAGUGGCGAAGGCGGCCUGCUGGACAGUAACUGACGUUGAGGCUCGAAAGCGUGGGGAGCAAACAGG
Molecule: ribosomal RNA, 253 nt
Filed under: uncultured bacterium
Lineage: Bacteria
Description: partial 16S ribosomal RNA
Rfam family: Bacterial small subunit ribosomal RNA
Source: RNAcentral